UACGUAGGGGGCAAGCGUUAUCCGGAUUUACUGGGUGUAAAGGGAGCGUAGACGGCGAUGCAAGUCUGAAGUGAAAGGCGGGGGCCCAACCCCCGGACUGCUUUGGAAACUGUAUGGCUGGAGUGCAGGAGAGGUAAGUGGAAUUCCUGGUGUAGCGGUGAAAUGCGUAGAUAUUAGGAGGAACACCAGUGGCGAAGGCGGCUUACUGGACUGUAACUGACGUUGAGGCUCGAAAGCGUGGGUAUCGAACAGG
Molecule: ribosomal RNA, 253 nt
Filed under: uncultured bacterium
Lineage: Bacteria
Description: partial 16S ribosomal RNA
Rfam family: Bacterial small subunit ribosomal RNA
Source: RNAcentral